AACGAACGCUGGCGGCAUGCCUAACACAUGCAAGUCGAACGAGACCUUCGGGUCUAGUGGCGCACGGGUGCGUAACGCGUGGGAACCUGCCCUUAGGUUCGGAAUAACUCCCCGAAAGGGGUGCUAAUACCGGAUAAUGUCUUCGGACCAAAGAUUUAUCGCCUUUGGAUGGGCCCGCGUUGGAUUAGCUAGUUGGUAGGGUAAAAGCCUACCAAGGCGACGAUCCAUAGCUGGUCUGAGAGGAUGAUCAGCCACACUGGGACUGAGACACGGCCCAGACUCCUACGGGAGGCAGCAGUGGCGAAUAUUGGACAAUGGGCGAAAGCCUGAUCCAGCAAUGCCGCGUGAGUGAUGAAGGCCUUAGGGUUGUAAAGCUCUUUUACCCGGGACGAUAAUGACAGUACCGGGAGAAUAAGCGCCGGCUAACUCCGUG
RNAcentral lists this ribosomal RNA (433 nucleotides) under uncultured bacterium. RNAcentral describes it as "partial 16S ribosomal RNA". It matches the Rfam family "Bacterial small subunit ribosomal RNA", at positions 29 to 507 of the family's 1533-position model. The record is from RNAcentral.